Molecule: long non-coding RNA, 599 nt
Organism: Rhipicephalus sanguineus (brown dog tick)
Lineage: Eukaryota; Metazoa; Arthropoda; Arachnida; Ixodida; Ixodidae
Exons: 3
Source: RefSeq, a predicted model, not a curated record
ACAUGGCGGCGUCCAGCAUUUCGUGUGUGCGUCGUAGUGCCGAGUUUUGUUCAAGCGGUGGAUUUUUACUGCGUUGCCUCGCGUUGUGUGUUGUGUGUUGCGGUUACUGACGUAAGCGCAAGUUCUUCACUGAGUGUGAUCCGCGGCACCGUGCAAAUAGUCACCAGAUGCCGGCCGUGCGACUCCGUUCUCUGCGACUCCUUUGUUCGGUGUGAUCGAAGUACGUACGUGAUUCAUAGCUUUGGAGACCCUCUUUACACCGUGCCCUCUUCAAAUGUUUCCGCACAUCACCGAGUAGCAGCGCCGCAGUCCUUACUCGACGACACGCUCUGUGGGUCUGGAAAAUGCCUUGACGCUCGAGCACUUCGGGAGCUAUACCGGCGGACAGCCGGACGCGGGUAUCUUGGUCGUUCCUUGCUCUGCGCAUCGCUUGAAAACCGGCGGUCAUACUCCAGUGUACGCUGCCAGCGUGCUUUAUUGCCAGAGCCGCCUCCCCUUCUGGUGAUGACCAUAUGCAGCCAAUGCUGAUGUGAACCUGAGUGAUGAACAAAUGCAGAUCUGCAAAGGAGCUGUCCUGAGGCACCAUGAUUACUCAAGUC